UUUUCAUUUAUUCCAAAGCCCUUGCUAUCUCUGGGUUAUACCUGUAUCAUGCCUUACCAAUAGACAGACCAUGGGAUUUCCCAGCCUCCUCUUCUACUGAGAAUAGACACCAUCACUAAGGCGGAUCUUUGACACUAUGCUUUAAUACAGUUUGGAGAAUGGUUCAGUGGGAGUUAAAUUAAUGGUUAAGUCUUGCUUCGAGGACUGGUCCAGAAGACAUUACUGAAGUUUAUCUGGUGGUCAAGUCAUUUUCUUUCUCCCCCUUUCCCCACAGACUUUACGUGGGCACCUUGCUUUUAACUCUGUCAUGGGGUGGGUAAUGUGUUUAAAUCCUGUUCUAAUCAGAGUUUAAUCCUGUCAUGUAGAGAUCUGGUCAUUAUGCAUAAAGGGCAGCAGAUUAAUGUUCUGAGACACGGCUGCAGCAUUAGUGAUUAGUUGCGGUGUGGAAAGAAAAAGGGCCCCCAGCUCUGCUCACAACACACCGGAGAGUGGGAGAUCACAGCUUGAUGUAGUGAUCCACUCCUAGUAGUUCUCAGUAGACAUUUUAUAAAGUUCUGCUACAUUUGUAUGUGAUAUCAUGGCGGGAGGGGGACUGUUCACAAGUGAACCGAUUGUGUUUCUUUGGGUCCGUUCUCCGUAAACAUGCACCGUUAGUACAUGGAAAGGAUAACCAUAAAAAAACAUUAAUAAAACCUGAAGCGCUGUUUAUUGCUGGCCUUUUCUUUGAUGUUCUUGAGCAUACAAUAGCCACUAAUCAUCCACUUUCGAGGACACAAU
Pelobates cultripes (western spadefoot toad) is the source of this 777-nucleotide non-coding RNA. Lineage: Eukaryota; Metazoa; Chordata; Amphibia; Anura; Pelobatidae. The record is from the annotation of a GenBank genome assembly.